GGGGGGGGGGGUUGGCGCUCCCUGCUAGGGCCAGUCAGCCUGCCCAGGAGUCUUCGUCCAGCACCCAGUCUGGGUCCUCCCACUAGCACCCAGGCCGGGCUGAGGAGGCAGAUCUCAGCUGGUGGUGCCCUUGGAGCCAGGUCCCCAGACCCUGUCCAGCUGUCAUCUCUGAGGCAGCUAGGCGCCCAGGACCCAACUGGUUUUCAGUCUCCUCAGGCCCUCCAAACAGCAGGGGGUCAGGUCCCUCGCACGGCAGCCAGGCAAACUGCUGCUGCCCUUAGGUCCCAGUGUGGGGACUGGGGAGACCUUCACUGCCUCUCGGCCUGGGCCCGGCCAGCGGGCAGCAUUGGCAAGGGCUGUGGAGCCCAGCAGGACAGAGCCCCUAGCCUGUCCCCCGACCCCAUCCACUGGCCUGAGGCCAGGUGAGCAGGAGGGCUCCGGGGUGAAGGCUGGGGUCCGCCUCUUACCUCCCUCUCUGCCUGACUACCACCACUCCCCUGACCGCUGGCCUAACAGGCCUUUAAUCACCACCCUGGCAGUUUCUCAGCAGCGGCCGCCUGGUGACUGCUGCCUGGUAACGGUAGCUGUACUGGCCGCUGCACCCAGGCCUGUCCCCACCACACACUUGUCCUUUCUCUGUCACGCACUCAUCCUUGGAGACGUCAGCCCCACUUGCUGGCACCGCGACCCUCCUGUCUGUAUCUUCCACCGGACAGUCUGUUUUGUCCUUCGGCUUCUGGUGCUUGAACUUCUUGCCUCCCGUUGUAAACACUGCUGCUCUUUUCCCCAGCAGCUGUUUCUUCUAUGCCGAAUACAAUAAAUACGAAUACAUAAAAUGUCAGCUGUCCUGGUCUCCAGGUGCAAUGGGCUCACAGAAAGUAGGCCCAUCCCCAGGGGAUGAAUCUUGACUGGAGGAAAGCAGGCAUGGCCCUCUCUUUCCUCUGCUGGAAUGGUGGGGGUGGAGAGAACACAUGACCCAGUUCUGCCCAAUAGAGCUGAGAGGAGCCCUGUUUCGGAGGCAGGUGGUGUUUGGGAAAGUUUCAUCUCUUUAAAGGAAGGCAGGUGGUGGAAAUCAAUCAUCACUGUUUUCCUUCGACCUGGUAGGGGGAAUGUGAUGGGAGGAGAUGUAGCAGUCAAAGUGAGGCCGUGAGGAAAGAGCUAAGGAGAAUCCCAGAGGAGGUGGUUCAAAGACCUGCCCUUGCUGACCAAAUAAACUAAUCAACCCCAUAGCCUCCGGACUCUGGACUCUUAUUGGCAAGAUCAUCACCACCUGCACUGAAGCCAUGUUGGGCCAGAAGUUCUGUUAUGGGAUCCAUUUCAUUCAUUAAUUCAGAAUAAUUAAGUACCUUAUUAAAUAUUUCUUGUGCUGAUUCCACUUUCUAAUCAGCAAAAUCUGACGUGCACAGAGAUGAUGAGGGGCAGUGGAGAGGAUGAAGGCGCAAGGAAGAGGUCCCGGAGUGGACAGACUGUAGACAGAGCCUGAGGACACGUGGACCUGGGGCACCACAACCGCCCUGCAGUCCACCCCAGUGGGCUUGUCCACAGCUUGCUAGCAGGGUUUCUGUCUGUCCGCGGCGCCCCCGUUCCUGCCUGAUGCUGAUUCCCAGGAAAACAGGAAUGCAAGAACGAGACUGCCUCCCUCGGAGGAAACCCCAGGUCUGGGGGCGAGGUCCUAACGCCUGCUGCCUGCAGGACCCGAAGUUCCGCAUGCCG
Long non-coding RNA from Bos taurus (domestic cattle), 1713 nucleotides. NCBI's taxonomy places the organism in Eukaryota, Metazoa, Chordata, Mammalia, Artiodactyla, Bovidae. The record is from Ensembl.